RNAcentral lists this ribosomal RNA (434 nucleotides) under uncultured bacterium. RNAcentral's name for it is "partial 16S ribosomal RNA". It matches the Rfam family "Bacterial small subunit ribosomal RNA", at positions 29 to 507 of the family's 1533-position model. The record is from RNAcentral.
AGCGAACGCUGGCGGCAGACCUAACACAUGCAAGUCGAACGAACCUUUCGGGGUUAGUGGCGGACGGGUGAGUAACACGUGGGAACGUGCCUUUAGGUUCGGAAUAACUCAGGGAAACUUGUGCUAAUACCGAAUGUGCCCUUCGGGGGAAAGAUUUAUCGCCUUUAGAGCGGCCCGCGUCUGAUUAGCUAGUUGGUUGAGGUAAUGGCUCACCAAGGCGACGAUCAGUAGCUGGUCUGAGAGGAUGAUCAGCCACAUUGGGACUGAGACACGGCCCAAACUCCUACGGGAGGCAGCAGUGGGGAAUCUUGCGCAAUGGGCGAAAGCAUGACGCAGCCAUGCCGCGUGAAUGAUGAAGGUCUUAGGAUUGUAAAAUUCUUUCACCGGGGACGAUAAUGACGGUACCCGGAGAAGAAGCCCCGGCUAACUUCGUG